Molecule: ribosomal RNA, 501 nt
Filed under: Triticum aestivum (bread wheat)
Lineage: Eukaryota; Viridiplantae; Streptophyta; Magnoliopsida; Poales; Poaceae
Description: partial small subunit ribosomal RNA
Source: RNAcentral
AUGAUACUAUACCUUGAUGCGCUUGUCCACGACAUCCCAGUAAGCAACUGCGCGAUACGAUCAAAUGCAUGGGAUAGUGCUCUAAUUUCCAAGGUGAUCAAGAAGGAUACCAUCUCUCCAGGUGUGUUCGGCAAAUUACAACUUAAAGAGGAGUAUAGAGGCACGGAGCAGACACCCCUAUUUGGUGGAAUUUUGCAAGCUGAAGCAUUCGUGGCAUCCAAGUUACCAAUAACCUACAAUCCACAGAAAAAGGCAAAGAUUGCAAAAGUGCAGCCAUCAAUGCAAACCGGGGCAUCACGCCGUGCUCCAAAAAGAAAGAGACGGGGGUCAACUAUACAAGAAGAAGAAGAGUUUGUUGAGGAUGAGUCAGAAGAAGAUGAGGAAAUAGAAGCAGCGAUAGAUGUCGAUGAUGACGGGGACACAGACAUGGAUGAAUCAGAGGAGGAGGACAAGGAUGAGGAUGACAAUGAAGAAGAUGCAGAGGAGGAGGAGGAGGAAUAG